UACGUAGGGUGCGAGCGUUGUCCGGAAUUAUUGGGCGUAAAGAGCUCGUAGGCGGUUUGUCGCGUCGACUGUGAAAACCCGAGGCUUAACCUCGGGCCUGCAGUCGAUACGGGCAGACUAGAGUUCGGUAGGGGAGACUGGAAUUCCUGGUGUAGCGGUGAAAUGCGCAGAUAUCAGGAGGAACACCGGUGGCGAAGGCGGGACUCUGGGCCGAUACUGACGCUGAGGAGCGAAAGCGUGGGGAGCAAACAGG
Molecule: ribosomal RNA, 253 nt
Filed under: uncultured bacterium
Lineage: Bacteria
Description: partial 16S ribosomal RNA
Rfam family: Bacterial small subunit ribosomal RNA
Source: RNAcentral